RNAcentral lists this ribosomal RNA (443 nucleotides) under uncultured bacterium. RNAcentral's name for it is "partial 16S ribosomal RNA". It matches the Rfam family "Bacterial small subunit ribosomal RNA", at positions 331 to 792 of the family's 1533-position model. The record is from RNAcentral.
CCAGACUCCUACGGGAGGCAGCAGUGGGGGAUAUUGCACAAUGGGCGAAAGCCUGAUGCAGCGACGCCGCGUGAGGGAAGACGGUCUUCGGAUUGUAAACCUCUGUCUUUGGGGAAGAAAAUGACGGUACCCAAAGAGGAAGCUCCGGCUAACUACGUGCCAGCAGCCGCGGUAAUACGGAGGAUGCGAGCGUUAUCCGGUUUUAUUGGGUUUAAAGGGGGCGCAGGCGGCCUGUUAAGUCAGCGGUAAAACCCGGGGCCCCACCCCGGGCGAGCCGUUGAAACUGGCGGGCUGGAGUUGGAGAGAAGUACGUGGAAUGCGCGGUGUAGCGGUGAAAUGCUUAGAUAUCGCGCAGAACCCCGAUUGCGAAGGCAGCGUACCGGCUCCACACUGACGCUGAGGCACGAAAGCGUGGGUAUCGAACAGGAUUAGAUACCCGAGUA